RNAcentral lists this transfer RNA (63 nucleotides) under Seladonia aeraria. RNAcentral describes it as "tRNA-Val". Lineage: Eukaryota; Metazoa; Arthropoda; Insecta; Hymenoptera; Halictidae. The record is from RNAcentral.
AAAAUUUUAGUUUAAAAAAAAAUAUUUCAUUUACAUUGGAAAGAUUAAAAAAUUAAAAUUUUA